This is a long non-coding RNA of Mesocricetus auratus (golden hamster), 771 nucleotides long. RefSeq lists it as uncharacterized. The record is from RefSeq and is a predicted model, not a curated record. The transcript has 4 exons. NCBI's taxonomy places the organism in Eukaryota, Metazoa, Chordata, Mammalia, Rodentia, Cricetidae.
CCGGGCUCCGCCCCAGAACCUGGUACGGUGACUGCCAAACAAUGACUGAACGGCAGUGAGUAGCAUGUACCCACCCAGGAAGAAGAGGCCGAGAGAAGACUGGGCAAUGUCACACUGAGGCUGAGAUGGCCCAGGGGCUCAUCCGUGCUGGUAUUUUCCACAGACUUGUCCAUAGAAGACCAUUCCUGCCCUACAUUGAACUCAUGGUGAAAUGGUGUAGGCUGUUCAUUUCUAGGCCGCUGGCAGGCAGGAGGAGCACGCAAGGAUGGGAGCCCAGUAGUGAGAGCCACCUGUCUGAGGGAUGGCAGCCAGAAAGUUUCAGGCCCGUGCCACUCCUGUCCUGGUUCCCAUCUCUAGCUGUCAUAAUUUUUCCCUCAAGUACCUGCAGCACUUCUUGCAGCUCCCUCUGAUGAUCCUGAGGGGCAUGCCAGCUCUCUGACGUGACCUGGAAGGAACUGGUGGAUCCUAACCAGGAGCCACAGCGAAGCCUUGGGACUGGGGCAGCCAGCCUGUGGGAACGAGAGCUCACCAAGGGCAUCCUCUGCUCUGUUAUCUCCUUCCGGCCACAUGGAACCCCUACUUCUCCACCAUCUCGAAGGUGGCCUCCAUGACUGGAUGUCUUCUCCUUACUAACUCAUUACGAGAUUCGAUUACGAGAGAAGAGGCCGUGGACUUGCUUAUCUUGAACUGCUGCUAGCCUCAUGGUUCUGACACCAGCCUUCCCUACCAUGAUAGACUAUACCCCCUCUGGAGCCAUCAGUCAAAAUGAAU